UCCUACGGGACGCAGCAGUGGGGAAUAUUGCACAAUGGGGGAAACCCUGAUGCAGCGACGCCGCGUGAGCGAUGAAGUAUUUCGGUAUGUAAAGCUCUAUCAGCAGGGAAGAAAAUGACGGUACCUGACUAAGAAGCCCCGGCUAACUACGUGCCAGCAGCCGCGGUAAUACGUAGGGGGCAAGCGUUAUCCGGAUUUACUGGGUGUAAAGGGAGCGUAGACGGCAAUGCAAGCCAGAUGUGAAAGCCCGGGGCUCAACCCCGGGACUGCAUUUGGAACUGUGUAGCUGGAGUGUCGGAGAGGCA
This 305-nucleotide ribosomal RNA is filed under the name uncultured bacterium. RNAcentral's name for it is "bacterial SSU rRNA". It matches the Rfam family "Bacterial small subunit ribosomal RNA", at positions 337 to 659 of the family's 1533-position model. The record is from RNAcentral.